Molecule: small RNA, 28 nt
Filed under: Bombyx mori (domestic silkworm)
Lineage: Eukaryota; Metazoa; Arthropoda; Insecta; Lepidoptera; Bombycidae
Description: ovarian small RNA-3979
Source: RNAcentral
UUCAGAAGUUUGGGUGGACUGCCAGGUC